Long non-coding RNA from Loxodonta africana (African savanna elephant), 7484 nucleotides. RefSeq lists it as uncharacterized. The transcript is spliced from 3 exons. The record is from RefSeq and is a predicted model, not a curated record. Lineage: Eukaryota; Metazoa; Chordata; Mammalia; Proboscidea; Elephantidae.
GAAACCACAGAUAAGGAGGGACUACAGUAUUAUUGGAGCCCUGGUGGCGCAACAGUUAAGAACUCAGCUGCUAACCAAAAAGUUAGCAGCCUCGAAUCCACCAGCCAUUGCUUGGAAACCUUAUGGGGCAUUUCUACGCUGUCCUAUAUAGGGUCACUAUGAAUCAGAAUUGACUCGACAGUAACAGCACAGGUACGGACUCUAUGCUAUACUACACUCUGCUGUGAUGAGAAGAAGCCUUCCAGGGACAUUGGAAACUUGGGCACACCAUGAAUGACACACAGCCUCUCUAUGCUUCAGUUUCCUCGUCUAUAAAAUGAAGACAACAUCAGCAUCUAAUUGGCUUGCUGAAUUUAUUCUCUCCCGUUGAUCUAUGGGUUUAUCCUCAGGUUGUGUGAUGCUGCUCAGUGGGUUGCUCGUGGCAAAGGGGCAUAACCAUCUUGAGUGUCUUGCUGGGAUGCUGUAGGAAGGGGGACUAACAGGACUAGACACCCACUCUGCAGAUAAGAUACCAGCCGUGGGGAGAUUCCGUGACGACAUGUGAAACCAAACAGAUCACCUCCUCCACUCAGCUUCCAAGAUGAUCAGACCUGCAGCAAGCUAACUACCAGCCACCACGCUGGGUUCUCCCUCACCAGUGGUGACAAUGAACAAAAUUAAAGUUGGAAUCGACUCGACGGCAGUGGGUUUUGGUUUUUUUAUGUCAAGGGAAGAGAAAUCCUUUGAGAAAAGCACUCAAAAGACUGCUAACUUAUCCAACAAGACACAUCUAACUAAAAGGUUAGGUAUUUUUUAAAAAAAACCAAUACAUUUUUCUUUUAGUUAGUAAUAUUUUAAGAAUUAAAGACGGGGGGGGUGUGGUCAUCCUCUAAUGACUUUGUCCCCAAGAUUUUCACUUGUCAAUAAAAGAUAUAGACAUCCAAUAUUAUUUUACUUUUAAAAUUUUAAAUUUACUUUCAAUGUAAGGCUUACAAAAGAGUCCUUGAGUCACAGAAAGAAAAUUUGUUUUCUCCAUGAGCUGAACAAUCUAUAUUCAGAGGGUAAGACAGGCAGUCUGGUACAGUGAACACAGGGCAGGACAGGCCAUGAUGGAAAAUGAAGAUGCCAGGAGUCCAGAUUCUUCUCAGGAGUCCUGUGAGUUCCUCAGAAGACUGCGUGGGCAGUGUGGGCAGGGUAACAUUGACUUCGAACAAAGGGCUCUAAGACCUGAGAAGAUGAAACCAGAUGGCUGAGCUAUCUUUGCUAAACCACACCAUGCUAAGGAAGGUUCCACUCCUCUCACCUCAGAGCUGGAGCCCUGGUGGUUCAGUGGCUAAGAGCUCGGCUGCUAACCAAAAGGUCAGCAGUUCAAAUCCACCAGCCACUCUUCAGAAACCCUAUGGGGCAGUUCUACCCUGCUCCAUAGGGUUGCUAUGAGUCAGAAUCAACUCGAUGGUAAUGAGUUUAGUUUGGUUGGUUCUGGUCCCCUCAAAGCAGCCAGAGACAUGCCCCUCCCUCUUUUCAGUCCCUGAGAGAAUGUCUAAGUAGCUAGAGGCCGGAGCGGAAAAGCUGAGAGUCAUCUUCAAACCAUCCACCUUCAAUAAAAUUUCCUGAUAAUGGUGCCUCACAGAAGCCCUCUCCACCCCACCCCCAACUACAGGUCAGCCCCUCAACCACUACAGCCCUGGGCAAGCCAACCCAGAAGGGGCCCAAGGAUGUGCAAAGGCCUCUGGCCAAGCCAAGGUGCCCCACUUGCACUUUCACCACAGAGCAAGCUGACUUAACCUCAAGCCAACUUCAUCCCUGCAGGGGCAAUUCAUUUCUAUUCUUAGUCACCCACUUAGAGUAAAAAAAAUACCAAACCAAACCCACUGCCGUCGAGUAGAUUCCAACUCAUAGCGGCCCUAUAGGACAGAGUAGAACUGCCCCAUAGAGUUUGCCAAGGAGCGCCUGGUGGAUUUGAACUCCUGCCCUCUUGGUUAGCAGCCAUAGCACUUAACCACUACACCACCAGGGUAAUUCCUUCUCCAGAAAAGGACAGGCCUAGGAGCCACUAAGGCCUCAGCUGGAGUCCCCUCUGCCAUGUUCUAAGGACCAUGGCUUAGAGCAAAUGGCUUCACCUCCCAGAGGCCAAGGCUUCCCUCUGUGACAUGGGGUUCAGGCUACUUACUUCUCGGGGUUUCGGCAGGAGAACACUGCCCUACUCCCCCUGCCCCAGCAAACCACCUCUUCCCCACCAGACAUCAGCAUCAUGAGGUCAGAGACUGUCUUCUUCACUUCUGUAUCCUCAAGUGGCCAAAACACUGAUCAACACAUAGCGUUGUUGUUGUUAUUAACUUCUGUCCAGUCAGCCCCGACUCAUGGCAACCCCACAUACAAUGGAAGGAAACGCUGCCCGGUCCUGCACAAUUCCAAGAUCGGCUGGAGAUUGGGCUGCUGUGAUCCAUAAGGUUGGGUUUUCACUGGCAGUUUUGUGUGUGUGUGUGUGUGUGUGUGUGUUGUAGGAAUCUUUUUAUCAUUUAUUUAUGUUGUGCUUUAGGUGAAAGUUUACAGAGGAAAUUAGUUUCUCACUAAACAAACUGUUCUGUAACAUUGGUUGCCAACCCCAUGAUGUGUCAACACUCUCUCCUUCUCCACCCCUGGAUUUCCUGUUUCCAUUCGUUCAGUUUUUCUGUCCCUUCCUGACUUCUUGGCUUUUCUUUUGGACGGGUGUGCCCAUUAGUCUCGUACACAUGAUUGGACUAUGAAGCUGGUUCCUCACAUGUAUUAUUAUUUGCCCUAUAGACCUGUCUAAUCUUUGGCUGAAGGGUGAACUUCGGGAGUGGCUUCAGUACUGGGGUAAAAGGGUGUCUGAGGGACACACUCUUGGGGUUUCUCCAGUUUCCGUCAGAUGAGCAAGUCUGGUCUUUUGUGUGUGUGCGUGUGUGCGCAUGCAUGUGGCUGAAUUUGAAUUUUAUUCUACAUUUUUGUUCCCACUCUGGCUGGGACCCUCUAUUGUGAUCCCUGUCAGAGCAGUCAGUGGUGGUAGCUGGGCACCAUCUCCUUGUUCUGGUCUUAGUCUGGUGGAGACUGUGGUAGUUGUGGUCCAUUAGUCCCCUGGACUAACCUUUCCCUGUGUCUUUGGCUUUCUUCAUUCUUCUUUGCUCCAACUGGCUGAGUUUUUGAAAGUAGAUCAUCAGGCCUUUCUUUCUAGUCUGUCUUAGUCUGGAAUUUAUGCUUAAACCUAUUCAAUAUCACAGCAACACGCAAGCCUCCACUGACAAGACGCUGGUGGCUAUGCACGAGGUACAUUCACUGGCUGAAAAUCAAACCCGAGACUCCCUCGUGACAGUGAGCAUUUUACCACUGAACCACCAAUGCCUCUUCAGCACAUGGCAGGUUUGCAAUAAGUAUGUGGUGCUCAACCCCCCAAGCCUGUUUCCACAUCCAUAAAAUGAACACAAUGUGACAACACUUGCAAAAAGCACUUAGAACAAUGUCCAGCCCACAAGAGGUACCGGCCCACAUUAAAACCAAACCCGUUGAUGUCGAGUCGAUUCCAACUCACAGCGACCCUACAGGACAGAGCAGAACUGUCCUACCAGGUUUCCAGGGAGUGGCUGGUGGAUUCAAACUGCUGACCUUUUGGUUAGCAGCCCAGCUCUUAACCACUAUGCCACCAAGGCUGUAUUGUUAAUGAGAUGUCUACCCAAAAGGCAAAAAUAAAACUGCCUUCUGGUUUGGGUCCUGCCAUUGCUGAUAAAUCUAUAGCGGCCGAGGUAGAAUGCAAAUAAAACAGGCCCUUCAUCUGUUCCUGAACAGUAAUUAGGAUGGUCACAUUCACUCCUCCUUCAUAAUACGUAAUCUUCUCGUUUGUCUUUUUAAGAAUAAAACAACACCUUGCAUAGUGGCAGCAUGAACUAGUGAACUGCUCCAUUCUUUUAAACGAUUAUUUUGCUGUAUACUGUUAAAUCACUUUAACGUGGAGCUUACGUACCUGUUAGCUAGCCAGUAAUUUCCUAAGAGUAUGCUCUUGCAAAAACACAUAUUUACACUUCACAGUUAGUUUUAAGGUGCUUCUAGUGCUGGUUUUUUAAAAAGUGGAGCUUAAAAAAAUUUAAAAAAAAAAAAAAAAAAAAAACCUUUUUUUUUUUUUCCGGUUUUUGUUGUUUUAUGUUACUAUUGUUUCCUAAGAUUGCCAGAUGACUCUGGGGUGUCGUUCCCAUUUUCUCCCCGUGUCAUGAGAGAGAGAACGCAAACAAGAGAUCAGAAGGAAGGAAGACAGACACACUGCUUUAAAAGGCGAAGGCCAAGCUUCGUUCUGACCUAACUGCUUCCUGACAUAACAUUUGCCUAAGAUCACGCUAUAUUACGGAAACAGCUUAGCAGGGCAGCAAGAUGAGGAACUGAGGCUUCUGGGAGCAUGAGAUUCAAAAAUGAGGAACUUAAUUUUGAUGAGAAAUAGGGAUGUUAAAAAUCCUACUAAUGAAACUGCCCUUGAGCAAACCGAGAUGACAAGCCUUUGGUGCUCACCCAGACAGCCCGCCCUCACCCCUCUUAGCCACAGGCUCUGAGAGGCCCAUCCACCUUUCCACAAGAUCCACACGUCAAGGUCACUGGCUCGUGGAACCUUCUUCACAGACACCAAGAGGCCUCUCAGAACCACAGUCUAGCCCCACAACUGAUGUCAUUAAAAUUCUGCUGUGAACUGCUACAGAGAACUUGUGACCAAGGGGCUUUUUUUUUAAUUUUUUUUUUUACUGUGUUUUAAGUGAAAGUUUACAGAUCAAGUUAGUUUCUCAUACAAAAAUUUAUACACACAUUGUUAUGUGACCCUACUUGCUCUCCCUACAAUGUAACAGCACCCUCCUCCUCUCCACCCUGUAUUUCCCAUGUCCAUUCAACCAGCUCCCGUCCCUUUCUACCUUCUCAUCUCGCCUCUGGACAGGAGCUGCCAAUUUAGUCUCAUGUAUCCACUUGAACUAAAAAGCACACUCUUUGUCAGUAUCAUUUUAUGUCUUAUAGUCCAGUCUAAUAUUUGUCUGAAGAGUUAGCUUCGGGAAUGGUCUUAGUUCUGGGCUAACAGAGAGUCCAGGGGCCAUGUCUUCCAGGAUUCCUCCAGUCUCAGUAAGACCAUUAAGUCUGGUCUUUUUACGUGAAUUUGAGCUCUGCACCUCACUUUUCUCCUGCUCCAUCUGGGACUCUCUGUUGUGUUCACUGUCAGGGCGGUCAUUGGUGGUAGCUGGGCACCUCUAGUUCUUCUGAUCUCAGGUUGAUGAAGUCUUUGCUUUACGUGGACCUUUCUGUCUCUUGGGCUCAUAUUUUACUUGUAUUUUUGGUGUUCUUCAUUCUCCUUUGCUCCAGGUGGGUUGGGACCAACUGAUGUAUCUUAGAUGGCUGCUCAUUAGCUUUUAAGACCCCAGACACCACUCACCAAAGUGUGAUGCAGAACAUUUUCAUAAUAAACUUUGCUAUGCUAAUUGACCUAGAUGUCCCCUAAAACCAUGGUCCCCACACCCCCACCCCUGCUACUCUGUUCCUCGAAGUGCUUCCUUAUAUUCAGGAAACUUCUUAGGCUUUUGGUUUAGUCCAGUUUUGCUGACACCCCUGUAUUGUGUUGUUCUUCCCUUCACCAAAGAUACUUCUUGUCUACUACCUAAUUAAUGAAUUCCCCUCUCCCUCCCUCCCCACCCUUGUAAGCAUCAAAGAAUGUUUUCUUCUGUGUUCAAACCUUUUCUUGAGUUCUUAUAACAGUGGUCUCAUACAAUAUUUGUCCUUUUGUGACUGACUAAUUUCGCUCAGCAUAAUGCCUUCCAUAUUCAUCCAUGUUAUGAGAUGUUUCAUGGAUCAUCAUUGUUCUUCAUCGUUGUGUAGUAUUCUAUUAUGUGAAUAUACCACAAUUUGUUUAUCUAUUCAUCUGUUGAUGGGUACCUGGGCUGUUUCCAUUUUUUUGCUAUGUAAACAGUGCUGCAAUGAACAUGGGUGUGCUUAUAUCUAUUUGUGUGAGGGCUCUUAUUUCUCUAGGAUAUAUUUCAAGGAGUGGGAUUGCUGGAUCGUAUGAUACUUCUAUUUCUAGCUUUUUAAGGAAGCGCCAUAUUGAUUUCAAAAGUGGUUGCACCAUUUUACAUUCCCACCAGCAGUGUAGAAGUGUUCCAGUCUCUCCACAACCUCACCAACAUUUAUUAUUCUGUGGUUUUGGGAUUAAUGCUACCCUCAUUGGGGUUACAUGGUAUUCUAUUGUAGUUUUGACCCGUAUUUCUCUAACGGCUAACGAUUGUAAGCAUUUCCUCAUGCAUCUGUGAGCUGCCUGAAUGUCUUCUUUGGUAAAGUGCCUAUUCAUUUUUAUUUGGUUGUCUUUUUGUUCUUCGGGUUUUGCAAUACCUUGUAAAUUUCAGAGAUUAGACCCUGAUCAGAUAUGUCGUAGCCAAAUUUUUUCCCCUAGUCUGUAGGUUGUCUUUUGACUCUUUUGGUGAAGUCUUUGGAUAAGCGUUAAGUAUUUAAUUUUUAGGAGCUCCCAGUUAUCUAGUUUGUCUUCUGGUGUUUGCACAUUGUUACUUAUGGUUUGUAUUCUGUUUGUUAGUUAUGGUUUGCAUUCUGUUUAUGCCAUGCAUUAGGGCUCCUAGUGUCCCUAUUUUUUCUUCCAUGAUCUUUAUUGUUUUAGAUUUUAUAUUUAGGUCUUCAAUCCACUUUAAGUCAGUUUUUGUGCGUGUAAGUUAUGGGUCUUGUUUCAUUUUUUUGCAGAUGGAUAUCCAGGUAUGCCAGCACCAUUUGUUAAAGAGACUGUCUUUUCCCCCAUUUAACAGACUUUGGGCCUGUGUCAAAUAUCAGCUGCCCAUAAGUGGAUGAAUUUAUGUCUGGAUUCUCAGUUCUGUUCCACUGGUCUAUGUAUCUGUUGUUGUACAAAUACCAGGCUGUGCUGGCUACUAUAGCAGUAUAAUAGGUUCUAAAAUCAGGUAGUUUGAGGCCUCCCACUUUGUUCUUCUUCAGUAAUGUUUUACUUAUCCGAGGCCUCUUCCCUUUCCAUAUGAAGUUGAUGAUUUGUUUCCCUAUCUCAUUAAAAACUGCCAUUGGAAUUUGGAUCCAGAUUGCAUUGUUAUCUAUAGAUCACUUUGGGUACGAUAGACAUUUUCACAAUGUUCAGUCUUCCAUAUCCAUGAGCAAGGUAUAUUUUUCCACUUAUGUAGGUCUCUUUUGGUUUCUUGCAGUAGUAUCUUCCAGUUUUCUUUGUAUACGUCUUUUAUGUCUCUGGUUAGAUUUAUUCCUAAGUAUUUUAUCUAAUCGGGGGCUAUCGUAAAUGGUAUUGAUUUGGUGAUUUCCUCUUUGACGUUCUCUUUGUUGGUGCAGAGCAAUCUAGCUGAUUUUCGUAUGUUUAUCUUGUAUCCUGAUACUUUGUUGAAAACUUCUAUUAGUUCCAGUAGUUUUCUUGUGGAGUUUUCUGUGUAUAAGAUCAUAUCAUCUGCAAAUAGAGAUACUUUUACUUCUUCCUUACCAAUUUAAACCAAAAAAAAAAAAAAAACAAAAAAACC